UUGGCGGCCUUAAUUCUUAUUAGAGGAACUCGUAUCUUAAUCCGAUAAUCCCCGUUAAAUUUAUCUUUUUCUCUAAAGCCUUUAUAUCGCCGUCUAAAGUAAUCGUUAAAACCCCAUUCCAAAGUAAGUACCCUAACACGUCAGGUCGAGAUAAAGCCCAUGAAAAAGGGAGCCGAGUUACAUAUAUUUUUUAUUUACGUUCUUUCUUUUAAAUAUUUCAGAAACAAGGAUUUAGUAGUAAUAAAACACUAAUAUUUUUUUAUGAAAAAGCCAAAAAGGUGUACAUAUCGCCCGUCACCCUCGUCCAAAGAUGAGGUAAGUCGUAACAAAGUUAAUGUACUGGAAAGUGCAUUAAGGG
Molecule: ribosomal RNA, 358 nt
Filed under: Cyriopagopus lividus (cobalt blue tarantula)
Lineage: Eukaryota; Metazoa; Arthropoda; Arachnida; Araneae; Theraphosidae
Description: partial 12S ribosomal RNA
Source: RNAcentral